CUUCGGGGAUAGUUGCGCACGGGUGCGUAACGCGUGGGGAAUCUGCCCUUGGGUUCGGAAUAACUUCUGGAAACGGAAGCUAAUACCGGAUGAUGACGUAAGUCCAAAGAUUUAUCGCCCAAGGAUGAGCCCGCGUAGGAUUAGCUAGUUGGUGAGGUAAAGGCUCACCAAGGCGACGAUCCUUAGCUGGUCUGAGAGGAUGAUCAGCCACACUGGGACUGAGACACGGCCCAGACUCCUACGGGAGGCAGCAGUAGGGAAUAUUGGACAAUGGGGGAAACCCUGAUCCAGCAAUGCCGCGUGAGUGAUGAAGGCCUUAGGGUUGUAAAGCUCUUUUACCCGGGAUGAUAAUGACAGUACCGGGAGAAUAAGCUCCGGCUAACUCCGUGCCAGCAGCCGCGGUAAUACGGAGGGAGCUAGCGUUGUUCGGAAUUACUGGGCGUAAAGCGCACGUAGGCGGCUAUUCAAGUCAGAGGUGAAAGCCCGGGGCUCAACCCCGGAACUGCCUUUGAAACUAGAUAGCUUGAAUCCAGGAGAGGUGAGUGGAAUUCCGAGUGUAGAGGUGAAAUUCGUAGAUAUUCGGAAGAACACCA
This 593-nucleotide ribosomal RNA is filed under the name uncultured Alphaproteobacteria bacterium. RNAcentral's name for it is "bacterial SSU rRNA". It matches the Rfam family "Bacterial small subunit ribosomal RNA", at positions 84 to 711 of the family's 1533-position model. Lineage: Bacteria; Pseudomonadati; Pseudomonadota; Alphaproteobacteria. The record is from RNAcentral.